Molecule: ribosomal RNA, 1288 nt
Filed under: human oral metagenome
Description: bacterial LSU rRNA
Rfam family: Bacterial large subunit ribosomal RNA
Source: RNAcentral
UAAGUCGCUGGUCAUAGACGCGAAACCUAGUGAUCUAGGCCUGUCCAGGCUGAAGCUGAGGUAAGACUCAGUGGAGGGCCGAACUCACCGCCGUUGAAAAGUUGGGAGAUGAGAUAGGUCUAGGGGUGAAAAGCCAAUCGAACUAGGAGAUAGCUCGUUCUCUCCGAAAUGCAUUUAGGUGCAGCCUUGAUGUUAAGAUAUGUGGGGGUAGAGCUCUGUAUGAUCUAGGGGGCGUACUGCUUACCGAAAUCAAGCAAACUUCGAAUACCAUAUAUUAUGUUCAGGAGUGAGUCCGUGGAUGACAAGGUCCGCGGACGAGAGGGGAACAGCCCAGACCACCAGCUAAGGUCCCAAAUUAUGUCUAAGUGGGAAAGGAGGUGGAUAUUCACAGACAACCAGGAGGUUGGCUUAGAAGCAGCCAUACCUUGAAAGAGUGCGUAAUAGCUCACUGGUCGAGAGUAUCUGCGCCGAAGAUGUAACGGGGCUAAGACAUAAACCGAAGCUGCGGAGGCGUGCCUGCACGCCUGGUAGGAGAGCGUUCUGUAGGCCGUUGAAGGAAUGCCGCAAGGCCGUUCUGGAGGUAUCAGAAGUGAGAAUGCAGGAAUGAGUAGCGAGAAGGCGGGCGAGAAUCCCGCCGGCCGGAAGUCCAAGGUUUCCAGGGGAAGGUUUGUCCGCCCUGGGGGAGUCGGGACCUAAGCAUAAGCAAAAAUGUGAUGGCGAAUGGAAAACAGGUUAAUAUUCCUGUACCACUAUUAUCGCUUGAGAGACGGAGUGACGCAGGAAGGUAUGUGAGAAGACUGACGGAAUAGUCUUUCUAAGGGCGUAGCAUGGACACGCAGGUAAAUCCGCGUGUCUAAAUGUGAGACCUGAUGGGCAAGUGCAUUAGCAUAAGUUACAGAUCCUACACUGCCAAGAAAAACUUCUAUCGAUGAAAAAUAGUGCCCGUACUGUAAACCGACACAGGUGGACAGAGUGAGAAACUUAAGGCCGACAGGAUAACUCUAGCUAAGGAACUCUGCAAAAUAGCCCCGUAACUUCGGGAGAAGGGGUGCCUGACAUACCUGAGAGGAGAAGCGCCUCAAGGGGAAACAGGCCGCAGUGAAGAGUCCCAAGCAACUGUUUACCAAAAACACAGGUCUAUGCUAAGCUGAAAGGCGACGUAUAUGGGCUGACACCUGCCCAGUGCCGGAAGGUUAAGAGGAGGAGUGAGAGCUCCGAUUUGAAGCCCCGGUGAACGGCGGCCGUAACUAUAACGGUCCUAAGGUAGCGAAAUUCCUUGUCGGGUAAG